Molecule: non-coding RNA, 288 nt
Organism: Dermacentor andersoni
Lineage: Eukaryota; Metazoa; Arthropoda; Arachnida; Ixodida; Ixodidae
Source: RefSeq, a predicted model, not a curated record
ACAGCUGCAGGCGAAUGAAACAGCAAUGAAAUUCCUGUAUUACACGUGUUUUCUCACCUGUCUUUGUGCCGUGUUCUGCUUAGGCGAAGCAAUUCAUGGUUUUGGAUUUAAAUCAAAACAAGGUAGAAUUUUGGAGACUGUAAAGAAACUUCUGCAGGGCAGAGGUGAACUCAUGAUAAGCCGCGGCACAUAUGGAAGAUCUGAUUAUCCUAUGUGUGUACGAUCACGCCCGCUUGGAUAUUCAGCUGGUAAAAUUCAUCACAAUUUAAGCUACUACGAAAGAGAUAU